Molecule: long non-coding RNA, 552 nt
Filed under: Mytilus galloprovincialis (Mediterranean mussel)
Lineage: Eukaryota; Metazoa; Mollusca; Bivalvia; Mytilida; Mytilidae
Source: RNAcentral
UUGGCUGCUAUCCGCUCUUUGGUCGGAAUGUUGUCUCUUUGACAUAUUCCCCAUUUCAAUUCUUAAUUUUAUUCAACUGACAAGAAAAUAGGUGAUGAAGGAAUUUUUUGCUCAGCAAAAAGCGCUUCCACGCUUUGGCAAAAGACGGUACUACAUCACUUGCAAGUGUUCACAAAUAUGUGUUGGAUUCUUUAUUAUCUAUUAAACAAGCAAAUUGAAAUAGUAAAAUAAAAACUCCGAGGAUAAUUCAAAAUAAUUUUCCUAAACGGAACGUCCUUUAUCAAAUGGUAAAAUCAAAAGCUCAAACACAUCAAACCAAUGGAAAAUAGCUGUCAUCUUCCUGACUUCGUAGAGACAUUCCCUUAUUUGCAUCUAAACAAUUUCAUCUUCUGUUCUGAAUCACAUAGCUUCUUCUUUUAACAAACUUUAUAAGCAUAAUGACGAUUGGAAGAUUCUUUAAAUAGAUAUAAGAAGAUGUGGUAUGCAUGCCUAGGACUAUUGUAAAAAACAUUCAAACGGGAAAAACAGCGGUUUCCUGACUUAAGACAGGCA